CAAUAGCGUAUAUUAAAGUUGUUGCAGUUAAAAAGCUCGUAGUUGGACUUGUGGUGGUCUUUGGGGUCCGAUUUCGGUACUCUCGGGGACUGCCAUCUUUGGGUGGAUCCUGUGUGGCAUUAGGUUGUCGUGCAGGGGAUGCCCAUCGUUUACUGUGAAAAAAUUAGAGUGUUCAAAGCAGGCUUAUGCCGUUGAAUAUAUUAGCAUGGAAUAAUGAGAUAGGACCUUGGUACUAUUUUGUUGGUUUGCGCACCGAGGUAAUGAUUAAUAGGGACAGUUAUGGGUAUUCGUAUUCCAUUGUCAGAGGUGAAAUUCUUGGAUUUCUGGAAGACGAACUAAUGCGAAAGCAUUUACCAAGGAUGUUUNCAUUAA
RNAcentral lists this ribosomal RNA (372 nucleotides) under uncultured eukaryote. Its description in RNAcentral is "partial 18S ribosomal RNA". It matches the Rfam family "Eukaryotic small subunit ribosomal RNA", at positions 592 to 976 of the family's 1831-position model. The record is from RNAcentral.